RNAcentral lists this ribosomal RNA (467 nucleotides) under uncultured archaeon. RNAcentral describes it as "bacterial SSU rRNA". It matches the Rfam family "Archaeal small subunit ribosomal RNA", at positions 1 to 474 of the family's 1478-position model. The record is from RNAcentral.
UUCUGGUUGAUCCCGCCGGACCUGACUGCUAUCGGAUUGAUACUAAGCCAUGCGAGUCUUUGCAGUAAUGCAAGGCGGACUGCUCAGUAACACGUAGUCAACUUAACCUAUGGAUGGGUAUAACCUCGGGAAACUGAGAAUAAUUCCCAAUAGAUCAUUUAUCCUGGAAUGGUUAGUGAUUGAAAUGAUUCGUCGCCAUAGGAUAGGACUGCGGCCUAUCAGCUUGUUGGUGAGGUAAAGGCCCACCAAGGCUGUUACAGGUACGGGCUCUGAGAGGAGAAGCCCGGAGAUGGGUACUGAGACACGGACCCAGGCCCUAUGGGGCGCAGCAGGCGAGAAAACUUUGCAAUGUGCGAAAGCACGACAAGGUUAAUCCGAGUGAUUUCUGCUAAAGAAAUCUUUUGCCAGUUCUAAAAAUACUGGUGAAUAAGGGGUGGGCAAGUUCUGGUGCCAGCAGCCGCGGUGAU